UGUUCUUUGCUGGGGCAGAUAAGAAAUCUCAGUUGUAAGGCUGCCCAAGCCCUCUAUCACUUCCAGUCAUAGAUUUUCUUCCAGGAAUCACUUUGAGGGCACAAUCCUUGACAGAAAUGAAAUAGAGACUCUGGCAGGAGACUGGACAGGAAAUCAAACCCACGUUACAGACAGAUAGAUGCUCAGUAUCUUCAAGCUGAACAGCACACGCGAAGACCUCCUCUGCGAGUCACAGCGGGGACAGUAAGGCUGGCAUCUGCAAACCUAAUACGUGGCUGCUGCCAGCAGAACCUUCUUAUUUGAACACUAAUUCAAGCAGAUUAAAUGAAAAUCUCUCUGCCGUCUUCAGAUGCCAGACUGCUUCUCUGAGAAAAUGAAUUUCAGUUGCUGCUUCAGCAAGAAUUGAGGGAGCGCUUUUGAAUUCAUUCCUGAAACGACCAGGAUCUGAGGUCAGCUCUGCAUUGCUUAGUGUUUUUUGUGUUUUUUUCCCCUCCUUCUUUUCAAGGAUUGGACAGUGUUAGAGCAUCUGCUGUAUGGUGCUGCUUUGUAAUUAAACAGUCACCUAGACUCCCUUUGCAUUCAACUGGGUGAUGUAUUUGAGCAUCUGUGUCAUAUUGUUACCGUAUUUGCCGGCGUAUAAGAUGAUUUUUUGGCCCUGAAAAAUAUGCCUCCAA
Hipposideros armiger (great roundleaf bat) is the source of this 674-nucleotide long non-coding RNA. RefSeq lists it as uncharacterized. The record is from RefSeq and is a predicted model, not a curated record. Lineage: Eukaryota; Metazoa; Chordata; Mammalia; Chiroptera; Hipposideridae. The transcript is spliced from 4 exons.